RNAcentral lists this ribosomal RNA (467 nucleotides) under uncultured bacterium. Its description in RNAcentral is "partial 16S ribosomal RNA". It matches the Rfam family "Bacterial small subunit ribosomal RNA", at positions 28 to 506 of the family's 1533-position model. The record is from RNAcentral.
GACGAACGCUGGCGGCGUGCUUAACACAUGCAAGUCGAACGGAAAGGCCCUGCUUUUGUGGGGUGCUCGAGUGGCGAACGGGUGAGUAACACGUGAGUAACCUGCCCUUGACUUUGGGAUAACUUCAGGAAACUGGGGCUAAUACCGGAUAGGAGCUCCUGCUGCAUGGUGGGGGUUGGAAAGUUUCGGCGGUUGGGGAUGGACUCGCGGCUUAUCAGCUUGUUGGUGGGGUAGUGGCUUACCAAGGCUUUGACGGGUAGCCGGCCUGAGAGGGUGACCGGCCAAAUUGGGACUAGGAUACGGCCCAGGACCCGACGGGAGGAAGGCGGGGGGAAUUUGUCAACAGGGGGGGAAGACUGACGCAGCAACGCCGCGUGCGGGAUGACGGCCUUCGGAUGGUAAACCGCUUUCCCCUGUGCGGAAGGGGGAGGGAGGGUAAAGGGAAAAGAAGCACCGGUGACUUGCGU